This 253-nucleotide ribosomal RNA is filed under the name uncultured bacterium. RNAcentral describes it as "partial 16S ribosomal RNA". It matches the Rfam family "Bacterial small subunit ribosomal RNA", at positions 524 to 776 of the family's 1533-position model. The record is from RNAcentral.
UACAGAGGUCUCAAGCGUUGUUCGGAUUCAUUGGGCGUAAAGGGUGCGUAGGCGGCGCGGUAAGGCGGGUGUGAAAUCUUGGAGCUUAACUCCGAAACUGCAUUCGAUACUGCCGUGCUUGAGGACUGGAGAGGAGACUGGAAUUUACGGUGUAGCGGUGAAAUGCGUAGAUAUCGUAAGGAAGACCAGUGGCGAAGGCGGGUCUCUGGACAGUUCCUGACGCUGAGGCACGAAGGCCAGGGGAGCAAACGGG